CUUCACCGACCCCAACCAGACAGGUCGAUCAUCAGGGCGUUCCUGACCGUAGGUCGCCAGCAACGCCUGCGCCUC
Non-coding RNA from Streptomyces bingchenggensis BCW-1, 75 nucleotides. It matches the Rfam family "ASpks TB sRNA". NCBI's taxonomy places the organism in Bacteria, Bacillati, Actinomycetota, Actinomycetes, Kitasatosporales, Streptomycetaceae. The record is from Rfam.